CAAGUCUGGUGCCAGCAGCCGCGGUAAUUCCAGCUCCAAUAGCGUAUAUUAAAGUUGUUGCAGUUAAAAAGCUCGUAGUUGAAUUUCGGGAUCAAUAUAUCGGUCGUGCCUCUGGUACGUACUGGUAUCAUUGAUUUCUCCCUUCUGACGAACCAUGAUUUCAUUUAUUUGGUGUCAUGGGGAGUUAGGACUGUUACUUUGAAAAAAUUAGAGUGUUUAAAGCAGGCAUUAGCUUGAAUACAUUAGCAUGGAAUAAUGAAAUAGGACGUUUGACCCUAUUUUGUUGGUUUCUAGGAUCGACGUAAUGAUUAAUAGGGAUAGUUGGGGGCAUUAGUAUUCAAUUGUCAGAGGUGAAAUUCUUGGAUUUAUUGAAGACUAACUACUGCGAAAGCAUUUGCCAAGGAUGUUUUCAUUAAUCAAGAACGAAAGUUAGGGGAUCGAAGACGAUCAGAUACCGUCGUAGUCUUAACCAUAAACUAUGCCGACUAGGGAUCGGAUGAUGUUAAUUUUAUAAUGACUCAUUCGGCGCCUUA
RNAcentral lists this ribosomal RNA (533 nucleotides) under uncultured fungus. Its description in RNAcentral is "SSU rRNA". It matches the Rfam family "Eukaryotic small subunit ribosomal RNA", at positions 556 to 1090 of the family's 1831-position model. Lineage: Eukaryota; Fungi. The record is from RNAcentral.